UUCAAUGAGAGUUUGAUCCUGGCUCAGGACGAACGCUGGCGGCGUGCCUAAUACAUGCAAGUCGAGCGAAUGGAUGGGAGCUUGCUCCC
Molecule: ribosomal RNA, 89 nt
Filed under: Lederbergia wuyishanensis
Lineage: Bacteria; Bacillati; Bacillota; Bacilli; Caryophanales; Bacillaceae
Description: partial 16S ribosomal RNA
Rfam family: Bacterial small subunit ribosomal RNA
Source: RNAcentral